GAGCGUUGAUGAAAUUUGCUUUAAGCUAAGGUUGGGUCCAUAGCAAUUCUCCGAUUAAUCGGAUGAUAUAGCCUCAUAUCUGAGCUC
Molecule: non-coding RNA, 87 nt
Organism: Arabidopsis suecica
Lineage: Eukaryota; Viridiplantae; Streptophyta; Magnoliopsida; Brassicales; Brassicaceae
Source: the annotation of a GenBank genome assembly